This 73-nucleotide transfer RNA is filed under the name Stegodyphus mimosarum. It matches the Rfam family "tRNA". From Rfam's summary of the family: Transfer RNA (tRNA) molecules are approximately 80 nucleotides in length. Their secondary structure includes four short double-helical elements and three loops (D, anti-codon, and T loops). Further hydrogen bonds mediate the characteristic L-shaped molecular structure. tRNAs have two regions of fundamental functional importance: the anti-codon, which is responsible for specific mRNA codon recognition, and the 3' end, to which the tRNAs corresponding amino acid is attached (by aminoacyl-tRNA synthetases). tRNAs cope with the degeneracy of the genetic code in two manners: having more than one tRNA (with a specific anti-codon) for a particular amino acid; and 'wobble' base-pairing, i.e. permitting non-standard base-pairing at the 3rd anti-codon position. The record is from Rfam by way of RNAcentral. Lineage: Eukaryota; Metazoa; Arthropoda; Arachnida; Araneae; Eresidae.
GCGUUCGUGGUGUAAUGGUCAGCACACUGAGCCGGUAUUUCAGAGGUCCGUGGUUCGACUCCCGGCAAAGGAA